UCAUUUAAAUGUCAUUGGGUCUGCUGGAGAAUUGUUCUGAGAAAACAGGAUGUGCUGACCUCUGCAAUUUCCCCAAAUGUGGGAAACUCCACUGCAUAAUUUGUGGUAGUGGGGGACUGCGUUUGCGCUUACCCCUG
Molecule: small nuclear RNA, 137 nt
Filed under: Catagonus wagneri (Chacoan peccary)
Lineage: Eukaryota; Metazoa; Chordata; Mammalia; Artiodactyla; Tayassuidae
Description: U1 spliceosomal RNA (ENSCWAG00000002460.1)
Rfam family: U1 spliceosomal RNA
About the family: U1 is a small nuclear RNA (snRNA) component of the spliceosome (involved in pre-mRNA splicing).
Source: RNAcentral